This 518-nucleotide ribosomal RNA is filed under the name uncultured bacterium. RNAcentral's name for it is "bacterial SSU rRNA". It matches the Rfam family "Bacterial small subunit ribosomal RNA", at positions 991 to 1509 of the family's 1533-position model. The record is from RNAcentral.
GAGAACUUAGCAGAGAUGCUUUGGUGCCUUCGGGAACUCUGAGACAGGUGCUGCAUGGCUGUCGUCAGCUCGUGUUGUGAAAUGUUGGGUUAAGUCCCGNAACGAGCGCAACCCUUAUCCUUUGUUGCCAGCGGUUCGGCCGGGAACUCAAAGGAGACUGCCGGUGAUAAACCGGAGGAAGGUGGGGAUGACGUCAAGUCAUCAUGGCCCUUACGGCCAGGGCUACACACGUGCUACAAUGGCGCAUACAAAGAGAAGCGACCUCGCGAGAGCAAGCGGACCUCAUAAAGUGCGUCGUAGUCCGGAUUGGAGUCUGCAACUCGACUCCAUGAAGUCGGAAUCGCUAGUAAUCGUAGAUCAGAAUGCUACGGUGAAUACGUUCCCGGGCCUUGUACACACCGCCCGUCACACCAUGGGAGUGGGUUGCAAAAGAAGUAGGUAGCUUAACCUUCGGGAGGGCGCUUACCACUUUGUGAUUCAUGACUGGGGUGAAGUCGUAACAAGGUAAGCGUAGCGAG